CGGGGCCGUGCCCCCCUCCUGACCACCGUAGGCAUGGACCCCCAGCACGCUGCGGGUGGGACCGGCAGGGACCCUGGAGGGUGGCUUGGCUGGCCUGUGGUUGGGAGUGAAGUCCCGGGGUUUGGUCCCCUGAGGGGUUGGUUGGACGUCCCAGAGCAGGUGGCGGCCACCGCGAUGACCACAGCGAGUGGCCGAUCGGGGUCCCUGCUGAGCCCGGGAGAGCUGUCGCGGAGGGUCCAGUCUAAGCUCCGGGAGCGAGGGGGGAGGGCAGAGCCGCAGAAGUGUGGGCGACCUGCGUGGUCCGAGAGGCCCCAAGUUUCCCGGCAGGGCGGGGACGGCUGGGGCGGGGCCAGAGCAGAAGCCACGUGGAGAGGGCCUGGGAGGGUGCGCUAGGAGCCUUGCCUCAGAGUCUGCCUCCAACCCUCUCUCCAACCCCCACCCCAUUCAUUCCUGUAACAAAUCCCUCCCGGGAGCUGGCACAGCAGUGCGCAGGGACACACGAGAUACUCACUCUCCGUGCCGUCCAGGAGCUUGGACUCAGCCGGGACUCUGCAGGGGUCAGCAGGAGCAGGGCCGAGGGCCCUGGUGGGAAAGUCUUCCCACUAGGGAAGCCUGGGCCCCUGGGAUCAGGUGGAGGGCUGGCUGGGCUGCCAGUUGUUUCCUCUCAGCCUGGAGCAAGGCCACCACUUCCAGCGCCUGGCCUCCUCACUCCCGAAAGCUCAGCUCAACCUACACGUGCCGACCCUCUGUCCCCAGGGCCCAGGCUGGACACUGGUCAGAACAGUGCUCCCAGAGGGAGCCAGUAACAGAAGGAGCUAGGCUGCGGUCCACACCAAGGGGGGCCUACAAAGGAUCUUGGGCCCCCAGACCUCCACCUGCUGCAGAGCUGCCGCCAGUCAAGCCUUUGUUUCCGGCUUUCCGUGCCCUAAAUAAACUUCCGUCAGGUUUGA
Molecule: long non-coding RNA, 950 nt
Organism: Cebus imitator (Panamanian white-faced capuchin)
Lineage: Eukaryota; Metazoa; Chordata; Mammalia; Primates; Cebidae
Exons: 2
Source: RefSeq, a predicted model, not a curated record